GCUACCCAUCCCAUGUGUACAAAGCAUAUCCCUUCCUCAUUCCUCUGCUCCACCAUCUUUGAGAAGGGAAAAAUAGAUGGAGAGGCUGUACCAAAUUGAUUGGCCUGCUCGUCCAUGUGAUGGGGAGUGCCGGAGUGGCUGCACCAAAUCGAGUGGCCUGCCCGUGCAUCAACAAAGCUGGGAAGGAGAUUAUCUUGGAGGCCAGAUCUGAGCGAGGUCGGGGCACGCGUUCCAGCCGCGGAUUUGGCGCUCCCUAGCAGCGAGGCAAGGCGGUCGCCGGGGAGGCCACUGAAGAAUAUGAGUGAUCCAUAGUUGGUAACUUCCCUAAUGGCGCUGCUAUCCUGUUCGUGUCACUGGGCCAAGGAUUGUGGUGUCGGGUUUGACGGCCAUGUUCUUCAUAGUGUUCCUCAUCUUAUGUGGCAGAGUAGUGAUGGAAAGUCCACAGGUGGAGGCGAGUCAUGGGCUCCCUAGUUGCUACUGCUGUCAAGUUCCACCUAUGUGAUUCGAAAAAAACUUCCACCAAUGUAAUGUGCUACUACUUUGCAUCUUUCCUACUUCCUCCACACUGUUCUUCACAGGUAUGCUUCCCGCCUCUAGUUGGAUAAAAGGUAUAUUCUCUAUUUGUUGUACCAUAUAAUAGCAAGUUAUAUCAAUGAUAUGUGUAGUUAAGACAAACGAAGAAGGUUCACAUGUAUUAACUGAAGUUGGUUCAUGUGUGUUAAUUGAUAUGCAAUAGAUUUUUCGCAUGUGUUGUAGGCGAUGCCUAUAACACUGGAGCUUUUCUCAUUAUUCUCUUCAACUGAAACAGCUGUAGGAUGGAAGAGAUGUUACCAAGAACACAACUCACAAAAGUGCAUGUCUGAAUGUAUUUCAACCUUAUAUACUAAGUGUCCUCCCUAUAUUGAUCAUGUGAUGUAUUCUUUCUCUAUCCCGGUAAACAUAAAUUAGUUGCCUUUCAAUAUUGUAAAAUAUUUGAUGCUUCUCAUAUUUUUCGUCCAAUGAGUUCAGCAAUUUUGCUACCACUGUUAUUGGUGCAGAGUAAAUAUAAUAUGAAAGUUCUUGUUGAAAUUAGUAGAAUAUGCUUUCGAGGUGUUAUAAUUUCUAGAUAUAUACCACAAUUGUCACAGUAAUACUUGUCAGUUCCUUUGUAGUUAGUUUGUGACUAUCACAACAUGUUCAUGUACAUAUUUUUUUUGUAACAGAUCUAUUACAGCUUGUCGUGAAAAGUAAAAUCCUAAAAAAGUCACCGGAAAACUUUAAAGAUAGCAACCCAAAGAAGUUGGGAGACAUAAAUAAUUCAGAUAUGGUACCAUUAUAACUGAUAUGACUCAAUUAUCAGUACAUGUUAGUCUCAUUUUCCUCCAAAAGUGGUGAUAUCAUAUCUUAGAGGAGUCUGAAUCAUUACCUGACUUGUGGUUUUCGUGCCUCAUUGCACUAAGUUCUUGUAAUGUUCUCCUAUGUAAAAUAUUUCUAGCGCUCCUUGUGUGUUGCUAUCUAUCUCCAUCAUUUUUGGCGAACUUUCUUCUACCGAGUGCCUACAUUUGUGGAGUUAGUCAAGUAAAAUUAUUACGUUACAAUGAUGAAUAAACAUGAGUCACGAUUCAUUUGUUGAUAAAUAAUUAAAGAUAGUGUUCCAUAUGUAAGGAAGUUCUCGAGUUUCAUCUAUGUCUAGAUCUGUAUAUAUUCCUGUGAGGCUGGUUUACUUUAGGUACAACCCUAUUAAAUAAAUGACAAAUCUUUUAGAUUUCUUGCAACCAUAGUCUAGCGCCGGUGUUAUCACCCGUAAAGAGGUUAAGCUGAAAAAUGCAAAUCUUAGCCAGAGUGGUGGAAGUCCAAUUAAAGUUUCAAUAAUGAGUAUGCAUUAUGCUUUCUCUGUUAUUAGAAUCAGUCGUUUUUCAUGGUUAGAAAUAUUAAUUAGAUUAUUUAAAACUACAGAGUAUAAGCAUACCUGAGCAUUAUUUAACUUUAUCUGCUGGUUUUGUAUUGUGUCCUUGGUGGAAAACUCAGAGUAGUAAUCUGGAAAACAUUCUGAUGGUCGUUUCACCCCCUUUACCUUUGUAUUGUACGCCGAAAAAAAAUCAUUUCAUUUCUCAAUGGGUGAUAUUUUGUGGAUUCCACAACCUUAAAAGUUGAUAGUGUAUAAGUGGAUACUUCUGAUAGUAGCAUGAUGUUUUUAAUAUUGAUAGUAAGAUGAUUUGUUUGGCCAUGUCAAACCAUACAGAAUAUAAUUAGCAAUUUUUGUUUAAAUUGGUGGGGCAGUCUGUAAUUGAAUGUUUAAUGAGCAAACAAUUUUGUCCAUCAAAAUCAUAUCGAGGCUCAUGAACUGAUCGGUUGCAUGAUUGAGCGAAUUGCAUAUGAUCGGUACUUUCACUUGAAUGUUCUAGUUUGUCCUGUUGUUGAUAAGCACUAAGCUUCUUGCACGCCAUAGUUUUUUGGCUGCAAAAGGAUUCGAAAAUUGUUAGUCACUACCUAUGCAGUUGUUAUCCUGAUAAGUGAUGAGCCUUGAUAAUUCAGGUGAGAGGCAGCUCAGAAGGUCUAUGUUGACUUCAUUGGGCGUCGAGUUGCAGUCACAUCACAGUUUUGGCGGUUUCAGAUGUUUUUCUGGCGUCACAGAACCCGUAGUCUUCGAUUUUGUUAGUGGUGCUAUGGUCUGGUAGCAGAUUUGGUAGCCUUCAUGAAUCGGAAGACCUUGAUUUUGCUGAUGGUUCUCUGGUCGGGUAGUAGAUUUGCUAGUUUGUCCAGUUAAGACUCUUGGGCGUGUGCUUGGUGUGUCUGGUUGGGUGUUGUUCUAUUUUCUUUCCGCACUGACUCCAUGUGGAGUUUAUUUCUCCCUUUCGAUCAAGAAUCCAUGUAGAGUUUCGUUGAUUGAGUCCGUCCCUGGGUUGUAGUUUUUUGUGCAUGUGCCCGAUUUGGAAGUAGGUGCACGUGAGGAUUCAUAUCUUGUUUUGUCUCUUGGAAGGAUGUGCACGUGAGGAUUCGUAUCUUCUUUUGUCUCGUGAUAAUGGUUGUACGUGUCAUAUGUGUCAUGUACAUAUAUGUCAUGUACAUAUGUGUCCUGUACUGUACGGAGGACGGGGCAUGUACUCGGUCAUUUUUUUACUAUCUAUGUAAGCUUACACGUGAUUGUUAUAAAGAGAUCUUUAUAUAAAAAAAGAUGUCUUAGACUAUUUAGACGUGACAUGUUAAGUUAGUUGUAUGGGACAAUAUUCGUAUGUUACGCUGCAAGUUUUAAAUCUCAGCCGUCAAUAUCUAAAAUUAACGACCGUGAUAAUUUAAUCUAUGUGGAUCAACGUGAUGGCUUGUUUGACUUCUGUCAUAAGUAUAUAAUAG
Molecule: long non-coding RNA, 3330 nt
Organism: Triticum dicoccoides
Lineage: Eukaryota; Viridiplantae; Streptophyta; Magnoliopsida; Poales; Poaceae
Exons: 2
Source: RefSeq, a predicted model, not a curated record